RNAcentral lists this ribosomal RNA (714 nucleotides) under uncultured bacterium. Its description in RNAcentral is "bacterial SSU rRNA". It matches the Rfam family "Bacterial small subunit ribosomal RNA", at positions 1 to 749 of the family's 1533-position model. The record is from RNAcentral.
UCGAUUGAGUUUGAUCAUGGCUCAGAACGAACGCUGGCGGCAGGCCUAACACAUGCAAGUCGAACGCCGUAGCAAUACGGAGUGGCAGACGGGUGAGUAACGCGUGGGAACAUACCCCUCGGUUCGGAAUAACUCAGGGAAACUUGAGCUAAUACCGGAUACGUCCGAGGUUUUAAUCGACCUCGGAGAAAGAUUUAUCGCCGGAGGAUUGGCCCGCGUCUGAUUAGCUUGUUGGUGAGGUCAUGGCUCACCAAGGCGACGAUCAGUAGCUGGUCUGAGAGGAUGAUCAGCCACAUUGGGACUGAGACACGGCCCAAACUCCUACGGGAGGCAGCAGUGGGGAAUAUUGGACAAUGGGCGAAAGCCUGAUCCAGCCAUGCCGCGUGAGUGAUGAAGGCCUUAGGGUUGUAAAGCUCUUUUACCCGGGAAGAUAAUGACGGUACCGGGAGAAUAAGCCCCGGCUAACUUCGUGCCAGCAGCCGCGGUAAUACGAAGGGGGCUAGCGUUGUUCGGAAUUACUGGGCGUAAAGCGCACGUAGGCGGAUCUUUAAGUCAGGGGUGAAAUCCCGAGGCUCAACCUCGGAACUGCCUUUGAUACUGGGGAUAUAGAGUCCGGGAGAGGUGAGUGGAACUGCGAGUGUAGAGGUGAAAUUCGUAGAUAUUCGCAAGAACACCAGUGGCGAAGGCGGCUCACUGGCCCGGUACUGACGCUGA